This 27-nucleotide non-coding RNA is filed under the name Homo sapiens (human). Lineage: Eukaryota; Metazoa; Chordata; Mammalia; Primates; Hominidae. The record is from RNAcentral.
AGGAAGACGAUGAGGCUCUCAUGCUUC